AUGUGUCUGAGCACUUUGUCUUUUCAUUCAUGUCUCACUACAGGAAAUGUGGAUUUGGAAGGAGAGGAACAGAGUCAUGAAAAGGGAACUUAUAUGAUAUGUUUAAAGGAACGACAAGACAGUAAAUACAAAGCAAUAAUCCGGGACUCAGUCUGGAGGAUGAAGAAUUCUAUCCUAAGAGAGCUACAGGAACUGUAUGCAGAAUCAACCAGUGUAUUGCUGAACACUGAGGUUAAAAUGCUCCUGAAUUUUCCACACACCGUUCUUCUACUUCCAUCUUCUGAAGGUCACAUUAAUGCUACAGCUUUCCAUUAA
This 315-nucleotide long non-coding RNA is filed under the name Anser cygnoides (Swan goose). RNAcentral describes it as "lncRNA (ENSACDG00005010208.1)". Lineage: Eukaryota; Metazoa; Chordata; Aves; Anseriformes; Anatidae. The record is from RNAcentral.